GGAAUUGCUAGUAAUGGCAGGUCAGCAUACUGCCGUGAAUACGUUCCCGGGCCUUGUACACACCGCCCGUCACACCGUGAGAGUUGGGAAUACCCGAAGCCUGUGAGCUAACUUUUAGAGGCAGCAGUCGAAGGUAGAAUCAAUGAUUGGGGUGAAGUCGUAACAAGGUACC
This 172-nucleotide ribosomal RNA is filed under the name uncultured bacterium. Its description in RNAcentral is "partial 16S ribosomal RNA". It matches the Rfam family "Bacterial small subunit ribosomal RNA", at positions 1328 to 1500 of the family's 1533-position model. The record is from RNAcentral.